This 414-nucleotide ribosomal RNA is filed under the name uncultured soil bacterium. RNAcentral's name for it is "bacterial SSU rRNA". It matches the Rfam family "Bacterial small subunit ribosomal RNA", at positions 26 to 449 of the family's 1533-position model. The record is from RNAcentral.
AGAUUGAACGCUGGCGGCAGGCCUAACACAUGCAAGUCGAGCGGUAGAGAGGUGCUUGCACCUCUUGAGAGCGGCGGACGGGUGAGUAAUGCCUAGGAAUCUGCCUAGUGGUGGGGGAUAACGUUCGGAAACGGACGCUAAUACCGCAUACGUCCUACGGGAGAAAGCGGGGGACCUUCGGGCCUCGCGCCAUUAGAUGAGCCUAGGUCGGAUUAGCUAGUUGGUGAGGUAAUGGCUCACCAAGGCGACGAUCCGUAACUGGUCUGAGAGGAUGAUCAGUCACACUGGAACUGAGACACGGUCCAGACUCCGUACGGGAGCAGCAGUGGGAAUAGUGGACAGUGGGACAAAGCCUGAUCCAGCCAGUCGCCGCGUGUAGUAGAAGGUACGGUCGUUACGGUAUUAGGUAAACGU